This 111-nucleotide small nucleolar RNA is filed under the name Nannospalax galili (Upper Galilee mountains blind mole rat). RNAcentral describes it as "Small nucleolar RNA SNORA33 (ENSNGAG00000004946.1)". It matches the Rfam family "Small nucleolar RNA SNORA33". From Rfam's summary of the family: ACA33 is a member of the H/ACA class of snoRNA that guide the sites of modification of uridines to pseudouridines. The record is from Rfam by way of RNAcentral. Lineage: Eukaryota; Metazoa; Chordata; Mammalia; Rodentia; Spalacidae.
AAGCCAGCCAACUGAUCUGCUUAUCUGAAUGUGUAUCUGGCAAUAGUAAGGCCAUGUUACGAGCCUUAAAGACACCUAUAGUCGUUAAGGUCCCUGAGAAUGGCUAUAAUA